This 459-nucleotide ribosomal RNA is filed under the name uncultured bacterium. RNAcentral describes it as "partial 16S ribosomal RNA". It matches the Rfam family "Bacterial small subunit ribosomal RNA", at positions 338 to 795 of the family's 1533-position model. The record is from RNAcentral.
CCUACGGGAGGCAGCAGUGAGGAAUAUUGGUCAAUGGGCGCGAGCCUGAACCAGCCAAGUCGCGUGAGGGAAGACGGUCCUAUGGAUUGUAAACCUCUUUUGUCGGGGAGCAAAAGACUCCACGCGUGGCGUUCCGAGAGUAACCGAAGAAACAGCAACCGCGAACUCCGUGUCAGCAGCCGCGGUAAUACGGAGGAUGCGAGCGUUAUUCGGAUUUAUUGGGGUUAAAGGGUGAGCAGGCGGCCUGUUAAGUCAGCGGUAAAAGCCCGGGGCUCAACCCCGGCGAGCCGUUGAAACUGGUGGGCUGGAGUUGGAGAGAAGUAGGCGGAAUGCGCGGUGUAGCGGUGAAAUGCUUAGAUAUCGCGCAGAACCCCGAUUGCGAAGGCAGCGUACCGGCUCCCCACUGACGCUGAAGCACGAAAGCGUGGGUAUCGAACAGGAUUAGAUACCCCGGUAGUC